RNAcentral lists this ribosomal RNA (619 nucleotides) under fungal endophyte. Its description in RNAcentral is "eukaryotic LSU rRNA". The stretch from base 192 to 345 matches the Rfam family "5.8S ribosomal RNA". Lineage: Eukaryota; Fungi. The record is from RNAcentral.
GCGGAGGGAUCAUUAAAGAGUUCUAUAACUCCCAAACCCAUGUGAACAUACCUAACGUUGCCUCGGCAGGUCGCACCUACCUUGUAGCACCCUACCCUGUAGGGCCUACCCGGGAGAUGCGGGUAAGCCUGCCGGCGGCCCACCAAACUCUGUUUGAUAUUGAAUUCUGAACAUAUAACUAAAUAAGUUAAAACUUUCAACAACGGAUCUCUUGGUUCUGGCAUCGAUGAAGAACGCAGCGAAAUGCGAUAAGUAAUGUGAAUUGCAGAAUUCAGUGAAUCAUCGAAUCUUUGAACGCAUAUUGCGCCCAUUAGUAUUCUAGUGGGCAGGACCGUUCGAGCGUCAUUUCGACCCUUAAGCCUUAGUUGCUUAGUGUUGGGAGCCUACGGCAACGUAGCUCCUCAAAGUUAGUGGCGGAGUUGGUUCACACUCUAGACGUAGUAAUUUUUUAUCUCGCCUAUCAGUUGGACUGAUCCCCUGCCGUAAAACCCCCAACUUAUCAAGGUUGACCUCGAAUCGGUUCAGACAAACUCGCUAAAUUGAAGCAUCUUAGUCAGCGAAGGAAAAGAAACCAACAGGGAUUGCCCUAGUAACGGCGAGUGAAGCGGCAACAGCUCAA